CCCGCGCCGUAUUAGCUAGUUGGUGGGGUAACGGCCUACCAAGGCGACGAUACGUAGCCGACCUGAGAGGGUGAUCGGCCACACUGGAACUGAGACACGGUCCAGACUCCUACGGGAGGCAGCAGUAGGGAAUCUUCCGCAAUGGGCGAAAGCCUGACGGAGCAACGCCGCGUGAGUGAUGAAGGUCUUCGGAUCGUAAAGCUCUGUUGUUAGGGAAGAACAAAUGUGUAAGUAACUGUGCACAUCUUGACGGUACCUAACCAGAAAGCCACGGCUAACUACGUGCCAGCAGCCGCGGUAAUACGUAGGUGGCAAGCGUUAUCCGGAAUUAUUGGGCGUAAAGCGCGCGUAGGCGGUUUUUUAAGUCUGAUGUGAAAGCCCACGGCUCAACCGUGGAGGGUCAUUGGAAACUGGAAAACUUGAGUGCAGAAGAGGAAAGUGGAAUUCCAUGUGUAGCGGUGAAAUGCGCAGAGAUAUGGAGGAACACCAGUGGCGAAGGCGGCUUUCUGGUCUGCAACUGACGCUGAUGUGCGAAAGCGUGGGGAUCAAACAGGAUUAGAUACCCUGGUAGUCCACGCCGUAAACGAUGAGUGCUAAGUGUUAGGGGGUUUCCGCCCCUUAGUGCUGCAGCUAACGCAUUAAGCACUCCGCCUGGGGAGUACGGUCGCAAGACUGAAACUCAAAGGAAUUGACGGGGACCCGCACAAGCGGUGGAGCAUGUGGUUUAAUUCGAAGCAACGCGAAGAACCUUACCAAAUCUUGACAUCCUUUGACCGCUCUAGAGAUAGAGUUUUCCUCUUCGGAGGACAAAGUGACAGGUGGUGCAUGGUUGUCGUCAGCUCGUGUCGUGAGAUGUUGGGUUAAGUCCCGCAACGAGCGCAACCCUUGAACUUAGUUGCCAUCAUUCAGUUGGGCACUCUAAGUUGACUGCCGGUGACAAACCGGAGGAAGGUGGGGAUGACGUCAAAUCAUCAUGCCCCUUAUGAUUUGGGCUACACACGUGCUACAAUGGACAAUACAAAGGGCAGCGAAACCGCGAGGUCAAGCAAAUCCCAUAAAGUUGUUCUCAGUUCGGAUUGUAGUCUGCAACUCGACUACAUGAAGCUGGAAUCGCUAGUAAUCGUAGAUCAGCAUGCUACGGUGAAUACGUUCCCGGGUCUUGUACACACCGCCCGUCACACCACGAGAGUUUGUAACACCCGAAGCCGGUGGAGUAACCAUUUUGGAGCUAGCCGUCGAAGGUGGGACAAAUGAUUGGGGUGAAGUCGUAACAAGGUAGCCGUAUCGGAAGGUGCGGCUGGAUCACCUCCUUUCUA
This 1316-nucleotide ribosomal RNA is filed under the name Staphylococcus pseudintermedius. RNAcentral describes it as "bacterial SSU rRNA". It matches the Rfam family "Bacterial small subunit ribosomal RNA", at positions 230 to 1533 of the family's 1533-position model. Lineage: Bacteria; Bacillati; Bacillota; Bacilli; Caryophanales; Staphylococcaceae. The record is from RNAcentral.